This is a long non-coding RNA of Myotis brandtii (Brandt's bat), 709 nucleotides long. RefSeq lists it as uncharacterized. The record is from RefSeq and is a predicted model, not a curated record. The transcript is spliced from 2 exons. Lineage: Eukaryota; Metazoa; Chordata; Mammalia; Chiroptera; Vespertilionidae.
UUAUUUAAUGACAUGUUUCAGUUUUACAUUGACUUUGUGUUUUGUAACUGUUACUGAAAGUUACAUUAAGCAUAUAAGCUUUUUCUUGUCUUUUAGCAGUAUAGUCUCUUUUCAUACUGAAACGUUAGAUACUCACCUGGACAGCCAUACUCCAGGUGUGCUCAUACUCUCCUCAUCUUAAUUGGAAGUAAAAGAGAUGAUUAGAACUGAAUUCCCUACAACUGAAGAUGGGUCUGGAUUGCUUGGUAGAAGGAUGUAGAAUGGUUCUUAUAUGGUCAGAAUGAUCUCCUCCACCUUUUUAGAGAAAACCUGUGGCUAGUUCACCUAUACUUGAAAGUAGAAAGCUAGUAUUUCCUGGCUGCUCCAUUUGCUAUUUAGAAAUGUAGCUUAAAAUAGUCAUCUAUGAAGUUAGACUGAUCCAUGGCAGCCUAACAGUGUUGGACCAGCCUCUGUUGGCCAUGAACUAUGCAACUAUUUUAAGCUGUGACCCUAAGAACUGACAGGGCAUACUGUACCCUCAUAGCACUGAAUGCCAGUUCUGUAUUUCCAGGGCUGGACAGAUCAGAUACAAACUUCUGUGCAGUUAAUGCUAUCAUUUUAAUGUUUUGAGAAUUCUCAUACCCACCUGCACAAGCUAAUAGCUUGCCUUAAUAUAUCAAAUUACUUUUUUAAAAAUAGCAUUGUAGGUGAAUAAAAGGUAAAACAAAAA